GCUGCCCCUCCUCUGCAACUUCCAUCCGCGAGGCUUCCGCCACUGUGUGUUCGCCACAGCCGCUUCAGCGGUCUCCCCACGAAGCUCGCCGCGACGACGCCGCGCCGCCGAGGUCCCCGACGCUUGAGUCCUCCUCCGCCCGAGCCCACCGUGCCGCGCCGAGCCUUGCCCCUGCUCUGCUCCCUGACAAACCGCCUCACCGCGCACGCCGACGCCGCAUGGAGCUCGAAGCCAGUCCCGUCCGACGCCUGGAUCUUCCUCCGCACGAGCCCCGACGACCCCCGCCGUUCGCCUCUACCGUCUCCCCUGCAGCGCCUCCACCCGCGACGCGUCUGUUCCGACGCCUCGCCCACACCACGACAACGCUGCUGCAACCACCGACCGUUGCACCCGCACCGCGAUCUCGCCUGUCGCCGGAGCUCUCCAUCGCCCACGAGCUCGCUGCUCCGCCAACAAGUCCCGAACAGAAUGCUAGCCCCUUGCGGAGACGCCGUCCGACUUGUCCGCGGCACCUCUUCCUCAGCCGCGACGCAGCCCCUACCGGAUCGACGCCUGCACGCCGGUGCUCUGUCCCUACCACCGGACGCCGAGCCGACGCCCCUGCAGCGCCCCUGUUCGCGAAGCUACCACCGAUUCACCUCCUCGCCGAUCGCUUGCUGCUGUUUUCCUCUCGCCGGAGCUCUGACGAUCAUCCCCUCACGCCGGCGACUCCUCACCGGACCGGCCACCACGUGCUGCCUUGCUAAGAAGAAAAGGAAAAACAACAGAAAAAGCAAAAUCAAUUAGGUUGUUUUUAUUUUUUCAUUUAUUUUACUUUAUUUUGUUUAUAUUCUUUAGUUAUUUACUUAAUUGGAUCCCAAUGUUCACUUUAUGAAUCUUGUAGUUAUUAUCCUCAAGAGUUAUCCCUAAACUUAUUGUAAUUAUUAAUUUGACCCGUAAGAUGUCGGGUUAUUUUUUUUAAUUACAUUAAUUUUUGGGGUUUGUUGAUAGUUUUUAAGUACUAAAUCAAUAUAAUUAUUAAUUUUAUCCGUAAGAAUUCGGAUCAGAUUUUUAGUUAUUUUGAACUCUUUGUUGUGAUCAUUAGGGUUAGGAUAAUCGUUAAUAUGACCUGUGAGACAACAUGUUAUUUUUUCGAUUAUUUUGAUCCUUUAUUUGAUUGCAUAUCUUGAUUGUUUAGAUUUAAUGUUUAGCUGAUAAUUGCUUGUUUUGGAGAAUCACUAAAAAAAUCUAAAAAAAAAUAUUUGAAUUAAGAUUCAGUUUGUUUCUUGUUAUCUUGCAUAUCUAGGAUAGGGAUUUUAGUUCGAAAAAUAUAAAAAAAAAAUGCAUUAAUUUAGGAUUUUAGUUGCAUGUUUAAUUACAUGGCAAUUUUAAAUUUUGAUUUUUUUUUAAUAAAAAAUAAAAGAUAAAAAAUAUCAUGCAUAUGUCAUGUAGAAUUAGGGCUUGCUCCGCACGUCAUUGCAUAUUAGAUCAAUUACAUGUUAGAUUAAGAUAAUAUCUUAGUUUAAAUUAGGAUUUAAUGUGACUUAAUCCUUAGUUUAAAUUAGAUAGAAUUUUAAUCUAGCUAGAUUAUUUUCGCAUUUUUAAAUAGAAAUAUCAAAUGCACAUCAUCUAGUUUUUAUUAGAACUUCCUCGUCAUUAGACUAAAUCAUUUAAUAAAUGUCGCAUGACAUAUAACUCGCUUGCUAGAUUAUAUGCAGCAUGUCAUCUUAGUUUAAAUAAUUUUGUAUGUCAUUGCAUCGCAUUACUUGUCAUUAGAAUUAGGUCAUUUAGAUUGCAUUUAAUUAUUGCAUUUCUUCAUGUCAUAUAGUUUAGGUCAUGCUGCUAUGUCAUAUUAGAUUAUUAACAUGCAUUGCAUAAGUCAUGAUUUUCAUUAAAUAAAGUGAAAACAAAAAAUUGAAAUUGCGUGUUAAUUAGAAAUCAUAUCUAUGGCUGCUGAUGUGAAUUCUGAUUUAACAAUGCAGAUGCUUUCGUUGCUUCUAGGUAUAUUUUGCAAUAUUAAAUUGCUUUCUUGAGUGUUAAAUUGGUGGUAUGCGCACACGUAUGAUCACCUCACAUGUUAAGAAGUUAGAUUAAAAUCAAUUCAAUUGCCAAACAUUUUUUGAAAAAAAUGAAAUAAAAAGGUACCGAAAGGGCACUAGGAUAGUCUAGUGUAACCAAGUCCCCGAACUCAUAAACCUCUGGUUCGUAGGAGUAAAGUAAAUCUCCCGUUACUUUACUUGGGUUUCUAAUCGACCCACCAAAAAUAGAUUAGUGGCGAUUCCUGAUAAAAUCAAUUUGCAUGUUCAGAAAUUCAAACCUAAGUCGCGAAUUGGUAUGGGCUUGGGAGAGUCCGAGUUAAGCUUAAAGACUUAGUAAUCCAUUAACCUAGUUUUAGGUGGUGAACCCGAAAAAUUUAGGUCGUGACACAUAAUCACUGGAGCAUGCAACUAUUGAUGCAUGUUAGACAAAUUGAAUGUACAGGUCAACAUUAAAAAAUGGACAUCAAGGAAGAAUAGGGCGACCUUGCCUUUUUAAAUAGCCAUGGGAUGGUAUAUCUCGAGAUACUUGUACAUAAUUAUCUUAAAUUCGAGUAGGUACAAUUAAAAUCCCUAACACUAAGCAAGGUAGCUAGCAUCUUUUUUGCAUUGAAUUUGCGUGCAUCUAAGUUAUGCUAAAAGUAUGUUCAGUUCCUGAAAUUGUCAAAAUUCAAACUUGCUGUGCUUUAGACGUUUAUAGAACAUCCAUUUGAUCUCGUCCGUAGUCUUGUUCAAGGUGCUUUCAUAUAUUUUUUAAACAGUUGAAUUUUCUGUUUAACUUAAUCUUUCCCUUUCUUAUGACUCUCUUGGAUAUGUAUGAAUAUGGAAUUAAGUAAAUCCAAAGCACAAAAACAUCAUAAGAGGUCAGCCAUGCUCGCGACAAGCCGAGGGGAAACAAAUAUAACAAUUCAACUAAAAUUUGCAAUAUAAUGCACUGAUGAUAUAGUUCAUAAAUUGUUAUUGUUUCUGUAGUUGCUUUCUGCAAAUUGUUUUUUAUUUCGUGUUAGCUCAAUCAUAAAAGAAAUGCUCCGAAAAACAAAAAAUCUUCUACCAAUCCUUUUAUUUACUUGUAUAAUGAAAAUUGUUAAAAAAAAUUAAAUUAACAUAUUCUUUAUUUAAAUAUGGUAAAAUAGUUCAAAAUACAAUAAGGAAUGAGUCGUAUUUAAAUUUAGUUGUAUUUUAUUUUUUAGCGUUGAAGAUAUAACUUGCAAUAAAUUAAUCAAGUUAGAAUUGAAACGCAUGAAUGUCCCUUAAAUCAUAUUUUACUUUUGCUUGUGUUCUCGUCAUUAAAUGUAAAAAUUUUGAACCAAUACAUAUUUCAUGCAAAAAAUCUAAUAUAUCUCGUUCAUAAACUACUAGAGCUGUUAACGGUUUGAAUUUUUCCCUUUUGCAGAAAUGACCAAGGAGAUUAAAAUUGAUGUCAAAAAAUUUCUCUAGAUAAUUAUAAAAAAAAUUCAAUAUGCCACAGCUUUUGUGGUUAGUAUUAACAUUAAUCUGUCGCGCAAUUUGAAGUUUACAAAUAUAUAUACAAAUCAGAACCAUCGUAGUGGGGAUAUCUACGGAAUCAAUUUCAUAUUAUUUUGAAAUUUUAAUAAACACGUGUACUUUCUUUUUUGGGUCAUAAUAUAUACGCAUGUACUUAAUUUAUGACUUUAUCUGCAACAUCAAUUUAAGGUGCAAUUUCCACUAUUUAUCUUAACAUAUUCAUUUCAAUUUUGGUAGUUUCUCACAGUGGGGGAAAAAAACAAACCGAUACUUCCAUCUCGAUCAAUCAAAUUAUAUCUUAUGCAAAGCUUCCAUUUGAAGCCCAAAAGUUCAGCAAAGGCAUUAGUUUCCAACAUUGAUUAUUGCUAUGCGUAGGCUUUUCUUCUUCUUCUUUUUAUCGGAAAAGAGUCCAUUUUCCUUUAGGGAGAAGCCUGGCAACAAGGCAAAAGGGCUUCUGAACAUAAUAAUAACCCCAGACUCAUACCAAAAUGCUCACGGAUUGACCAGUAACGGGAACAAAUCAACGUUGAAGACAUCUAGACAAAACAUCAAACAGGUCAUGAAGGACUCUCGGCGAGACCGAAACGAAACUCACGAACCUGCUUCAGACAGCUUCACUCUCCUAUAUCUGGGUUCGAAGGUGGAUGGACACAGAUCCCGAACAAUGGAGCAGAGCGAUGAGGAGAUUCUGAACACGUAAUCGACUCUAAAGGUCGAUCGGACCGGUUCACAUCCUCCUUGGUUCCCUUCAACCGAGCUCUUCGAUGGCCAAAUCCUUUUUCAAGCGAGCGUCCAGCAUCCUCUCCUUCUCGCUCUCGGCUGACUCUCCUUCUCCCCCGUGAAUCUCUCUUCAGCCUAUCUCUCUGCAACUUGCCUCUUCCACGGCCGCCCUCUCCAAAAACCGGCGGCGUCUCUCCUCCUCCUGUUAUGCGAACAGGAUCCUCUUGAGGCGAGCAUCCUUUCCGGCGAAGAUGUUCCUCGGCGAGCAGCUCCUAUCUCAUCUUUUCCUCUCGGAUCAGCACGCUCCCCUCGCCUCACCGAUCGAAUCUUUACUGUUAUUUCUCUCGCACGCCAGCUAGCACGGCUCUAGAAGGUGCUGGCUCAGCUCUCGUCACGGCUUGUCGCGCCUCCUUCGCUCACAGACGCGCACACGCUUGGCCUGGGGAAG
RNAcentral lists this long non-coding RNA (4668 nucleotides) under Eucalyptus grandis. RNAcentral's name for it is "long non-coding RNA (EGRA_LNC002856)". Lineage: Eukaryota; Viridiplantae; Streptophyta; Magnoliopsida; Myrtales; Myrtaceae. The record is from RNAcentral.